This is a long non-coding RNA of Cuculus canorus (common cuckoo), 704 nucleotides long. RefSeq lists it as uncharacterized. The transcript is spliced from 4 exons. Lineage: Eukaryota; Metazoa; Chordata; Aves; Cuculiformes; Cuculidae. The record is from RefSeq and is a predicted model, not a curated record.
CUGCCGGCCGCGGUGCCUCCCCUCCUCGCUCGCACGCUCGCUCUUCUUCCCUUUUUCUUCCGCUGCUGCCGCCGAGUCGCACGCUAGCACACACACACUCACAUGCACGCAGAGGGAGAGUUGCUAAGAGGCUCUGCUCGUUUCAACCUGGUGCACUCUGAAAGAUCUGACACCCUCUGCUGAGCUGCAGUGGCAAAAAUCCAUCUGCUGAGGGAAUGCUGGAGAAAAAAAAAAUCAAUCCACGUACAGGGCAAGCGUUAAAAACGCUGGCAUUAAAGCUGUCGGUCUAUUUAGAUGCUUUCUCCCAAGCUGAUUAUUUAAUUUAUUUCUUCUCUUUUAAGAUGGAAAGUUUAGCAUUCCCCUUCUUCUGACUGAUUCCCUAUUGCCCCCAUUCACAUACACUCACACCUGCACGAGCAGCCAAGGAAGGUGCAUUUGACUUAAUGUGUUUCCCAAUGUCUUGAACUGAAUUAGUGUCAGGGUGUCAAGCGGAUAACAAUUUGAGUCAUCACUGGAUUUACGUGGCCGCCUCUGGAGGAUAUUCUUCUAGCAAAAGCAUCUGGGCCUCAUGACUGCUGAAAUGUGCUCAGAUGUCUGCUUUCUGCUUAUCCCAGGAACUAUAUACAGAAGAGGAACUAAGGACCAUGUUUUGACUUUUCAUGAACCUGAAGUGAAGAUACUGCUUUCACCUCAAGAUGACCAGC